CACGUAGGGCGCAAGCGUUGUCCGGAAUUAUUGGGCGUAAAGAGCUCGUAGGCGGUCUGUUGCGUCCGCUGUGAAAACUCGGGGCUUAACCCCGAGCCUGCAGUGGAUACGGGCAGACUAGAGUGCGGUAGGGGAGAUUGGAAUUCCUGGUGUAGCGGUGGAAUGCGCAGAUAUCAGGAGGAACACCGAUGGCGAAGGCAGAUCUCUGGGCCGUAACUGACGCUGAGGAGCGAAAGCGUGGGGAGCGAACAGG
Molecule: ribosomal RNA, 253 nt
Filed under: uncultured bacterium
Lineage: Bacteria
Description: partial 16S ribosomal RNA
Rfam family: Bacterial small subunit ribosomal RNA
Source: RNAcentral